This 496-nucleotide ribosomal RNA is filed under the name uncultured bacterium. RNAcentral describes it as "partial 16S ribosomal RNA". It matches the Rfam family "Bacterial small subunit ribosomal RNA", at positions 29 to 507 of the family's 1533-position model. The record is from RNAcentral.
AUGCACGCUGGCGGCGUGCCUCAUACAUGCAAGUCGCGCGAACAGACGAGGAGCUUGCUCCUCUGACGUUAGCGGCGGACGGGUGAGUAACACGUGGAUAACCUACCUAUAAGACUGGGAUAACUUCGGGAAACCGGAGCUAAUACCGGAUAAUAUAUUGAACCGCAUGGUUCAAUAGUGAAAGACGGUUUUGCUGUCACUUAUAGAUGGAUCCGCGCCGCAUUAGCUAGUUGGUAAGGUAACGGCUUACCAAGGCGACGAUGCGUAGCCGACCUGAGAGGGUGAUCGGCCACACUGGAACUGAGACACGGUCCAGACUCCUACGGGAGGCAGCAGUAGGGAAUCUUCCGCAAUGGGCGAAAGCCUGACGGAGCAACGCCGCGUGAGUGAUGAAGGUCUUCGGAUCGUAAAACUCUGUUAUUAGGGAAGAACAAAUGUGUAAGUAACUAUGCACGUCUUGACGGUACCUAAUCAGAAAGCCACGGCUAACUACGUG